AUCUGGUUGGCCACUGUGAGAAUGGGACACUGGACUGGAUGGGCCGUUGGCCUGAUCCAACAGGUUAUUCUUACGUUCUCCACUCUCAUGAGAAAAUGCAGGCCUAUUCCUCAAAGACAAAGCUGCAGCUAGGGCCUGAUUAUUUGGAUAAGCAUUACAUCUCUUUUUCAGCAUUCUCGCCCUCAGAGCCUAAAAUACUCAUCCGUCACUUGAAGUCCAUAAUUUCCCCUGCUGAUCUGCUUGAAUAUAGCAGUUAUGCCAAGACCAAAGAAGGAGCACACAAUUCAUCACUAGAAAGAAGAAAACUGAUCCACGUCUCCUAAUUCUCCUGGAAGCAGCAUACCAUGUGGCACACCAGGUGAGCAAAAGCAUUCCAGGCCAAGGUCGUCGCUUGAGCAUCCAGGAAGAAGCCUAGAUCUGGAAACACUGCCCAAGCUGCACACCUGAUCCUUCAGAUUACAACCCCACCCAGAAGAGGUUGGACCCUCAAUCUCAUAUCACAGUGGCGGACUUUGGGAUCUUAAAUUUCAGUGGUGCCCUUUGUGACACUAAAAUUUGUCACCGCCUGCCUUCCACACCCCAUUCUUUUUUUAAAAAUUUUUUUUUAUUAACCGACCAAUCAAAUCAAAUCAAAU
Molecule: long non-coding RNA, 635 nt
Organism: Podarcis muralis (Common wall lizard)
Lineage: Eukaryota; Metazoa; Chordata; Lepidosauria; Squamata; Lacertidae
Source: RefSeq, a predicted model, not a curated record